Molecule: long non-coding RNA, 180 nt
Organism: Telopea speciosissima
Lineage: Eukaryota; Viridiplantae; Streptophyta; Magnoliopsida; Proteales; Proteaceae
Exons: 2
Source: RefSeq, a predicted model, not a curated record
AGGCUUUGUUUCUUGAUUACUGAUAUAUUGUGUAACUUGAUACCUAUAUUUUUGGGAUGGAGGGAACUUCUGGUUUACUUUUUCUUGGAAGUUUUAGGAGGCUGCCAAUUGUCUCAUGUCAAACAUAUCUAGCUAAGUUGCAGCUACUCAAUUUGGUGAACCUGCUGAUUCUGUCUUAUU